AGCAGCAGAGGAAAAGGAGCUACUGGAUGCUAUUUGGACAAUCAAGGUGAAACUUGCCGAUUGCAGAGACAUAAUAACCAAAACCACACAAAACAAAGUAAAGAGUCAGACCAGUGUCUCACAAGCACACCUCGACUCAAAAAAAGCGAAAAUGGAAAAAUUGCAGAAAGAUAUAGUGGGACUUCACCAAG
Long non-coding RNA from Callorhinchus milii (elephant shark), 191 nucleotides. RefSeq lists it as uncharacterized. The transcript is spliced from 3 exons. The record is from RefSeq and is a predicted model, not a curated record. Lineage: Eukaryota; Metazoa; Chordata; Chondrichthyes; Chimaeriformes; Callorhinchidae.